Molecule: long non-coding RNA, 2168 nt
Filed under: Marmota monax (woodchuck)
Lineage: Eukaryota; Metazoa; Chordata; Mammalia; Rodentia; Sciuridae
Source: RNAcentral
CAUCUUUUAUGGGUUUUGCCUGUUCAAAUAUGUUAUUCAGGUAAGAUUUUUUAAAAUUUCUUUUUAAUUUUUGAGACCUUUUAAAAUAUUGGCUUCCUUAGAUGUUAUAUAUGUUUCAAAAUUUUCUCAAUUUGUUACUUUUUUUUCAGUACUAGGAAUUAAAUAGUGCAUGCUAGGCAAGUGUUCCUCCACUAAACUACAUCCUUAGCCCUUUUUAAAAUUUUUAUUUUGAGCCAGGUAUGGUGGAGCAUACUUGUAAUCCCAACUACUCAGGAGGCUGAGGUAGGAAGAUCACAAGUUCAAGGCCAGCCUGGGAAGUUUGCAAGACUGUGUUUCGAAAUAAAAAAUAAAAAUGGUAGGUGUAUAGCUCAGUCAUAGAGCAUCCUAGGUUUGAUACCCAGUACCAAAAAUAAGCUCAUAAAUAAAUAAAAUUAAAAUAAAUAGACAUUUGAAAUAAGGUCUUGCGAAGUUUUCCAAGCUGAUCUCAAACUCUCAAUCCUCCUACCUCAGUCUCCUGAGUAGCUAAGAUUACAGGCAUGUGCCACUGCACCCUAUUUAUUUUAAUUUUUAAAAAAAAAAUUUUAUUUGUCAAUGGACCUUUAUUUUAUUUAUUUAUAUGUGGUGCUAAGGAUCCAACCCGGGCCUCACUUGCUAGGCAAGUGCUCUCCCACUGAGCCUCAACCCUAGCCAUUUAUUUUGUUAUUUUUUUAUGGAAGUAUAUCAUUUCUACAGAAAAGUGUACAAAUUUUGCAUAUACAUCUUAAAUUGGAAAGUUGCCUUUUUUAAAAGUAUUUUUUUAGUUGUAGAUGGACUUUUAUUUUAUGUGUUUAUAUGCAGUGCUGAGGAUCGAACCCAGGGCCUCAUACAUGCUAGGCAAGUGCUCCACCACUGAGCCACAGCCACCACUGAUGCCUUUUGAUCAGCAUCCAGCUCAUGAAAUAGCUUUUUAGAUCUUAAAGGGGUCCCUUGUGAGCAAGGGUGGUUGUGUACACCUGUAGUCGCGGUAACUCUGGAGGCUGAGUCAGAAGGUUCAUAUGUUCGAGGCUAGCCUAAGCAACUUAGACCCUGUUUAAAAUAAAAAGGAUUGGGGUUUUGACUCAGUGGUAAAGGACAUUUGGUUCAAUCCCCAGUACGGGGUCGGGGGAGUGUUCCUAGUCACUAUCCUGACAUCUCAUACCAUGGAUCAAUUUUGGUUUACUUUUGAUUAUAGUGUCUUUGGCUAGAUUGAUUGAUUAUUUAUUUGAGACAGGAUCUCUCUUGAUGCUCCAGGUGGCCUUGAACUCCUAUCCUCAAGUGAUCCUCCCACCUCAGCCUCCUGAAGAGUUGGGACUAUAGAUGCUCUUACUGUGCCUGGCAUGAUCAAUUUUUAAAAUUCAUCAGUCAUUUAUUUUAUGACCUUUGGAUUUUAUGUGUGUUUUGAAUGGCUUUCCUUUAUAAAAAUCAUCUGUCAAGAAUUUCUUCUAGUGCGGGUUAAUUUUUUUCUUAAUAUCUCCACCUUCAACCUGCUUGGAAUUUGUUACGGGCUGAGAUAUAUAGGAGAUUAUGGGUGUCAUAUCUUCAGAGUCUGGAGAUGGGUUCAUGGGCAACAAGGAAGAUUUUAAAUAUCUCUUCUCCCACCAAACUCAGCUUCCUGAAAGCAGGGUCUUGCUGCACCGUUGGGCCAAACCGUACCCUGUGGUACAUGGGAGGGACAGGUAGACUCUGGGCUGGAUACUGCAGGAAUUCCACCUGGUGGAAAGACUCUUGGGUAUCCCCAGAGAAGCUGCGGAGGAGAGACCACAUUGGUGGCUGUGGAGAAUGGAGCCUGGGGACCAAGGGGCAUGUGUAUCAGGGAAGGUAGAGGAACAGGAGUUCAGCUUUGGGUGUCUAAAACUGGCGAUGACUGUGAGACCUAGAGGAGAGGCAUAAGGAGAGGCCAAGAUGCUCAAACUGCCCGACCAGGCUAGGGAAGUCAGGCUGGGGGUGGUGCUUUGGGGCCUGUGCCGGGAGCCUGAGGCCCUCUGAUCCUCCAGGCUGGCAAGAAGAGGCAGCCAGGAAGGAGCCUUGGUCGCAGCAGAGGCAAAAACCACACUGUGAGGUGCUGCUGGCACACUGAAGGAAGGGGGCUGAUGAAACAGGUGGUGGCUGCCUGGUGUGGGGUUGAGACAGCAGGGUGAGGACAAUGCCUG